GCCGACCUGAGAGGGUGAUCGGCCACAUUGGAACUGAGACACGGUCCAGACUCCUACGGGAGGCAGCAGUGGGGAAUAUUGCGCAAUGGGGGAAACCCUGACGCAGCAACGCCGCGUGGGUGAUGAAUGUCUUCGGAUUGUAAAGCCCUGUUUUCUGGGACGAUAAUGACGGUACCAGAGGAGGAAGCCACGGCUAACUACGUGCCAGCAGCCGCGGUAAUACGUAGGUGGCGAGCGUUGUCCGGAUUUACUGGGCGUAAAGGGUGCGUAGGCGGAUGUUUAAGUGGGAUGUGAAAUCCCCGGGCUUAACCUGGGGGCUGCAUUCCAAACUGGAUAUCUAGAGUGCAGGAGA
RNAcentral lists this ribosomal RNA (352 nucleotides) under Clostridium sporogenes. Its description in RNAcentral is "bacterial SSU rRNA". It matches the Rfam family "Bacterial small subunit ribosomal RNA", at positions 286 to 655 of the family's 1533-position model. Lineage: Bacteria; Bacillati; Bacillota; Clostridia; Eubacteriales; Clostridiaceae. The record is from RNAcentral.